GUGGCAGACGGGUGAGUAACGCGUGGGAACGUGCCCUUCGCUUCGGAAUAGUCCCGGGAAACUGGGUUUAAUACCGGAUACGCCGUAUUGGGAAAGAUUUAUCGGCGAAGGAUCGGCCCGCGUUGGAUUAGCUAGUUGGCGGUGUAAUGGACCACCAAGGCGACGAUCCAUAGCUGGUCUGAGAGGAUGAUCAGCCACACUGGGACUGAGACACGGCCCAGACUCCUACGGGAGGCAGCAGUGGGGAAUCUUGGACAAUGGGCGCAAGCCUGAUCCAGCCAUGCCGCGUGAGUGAAGAAGGCCUUAGGGUUGUAAAACUCUUUCGCCGGAGAAGAUAAUGACGGUAUCCGGAGAAGAAGCCCCGGCUAACUUCGUGCCAGCAGCCGCGGUAAUACGAAGGGGGCUAGCGUUGUUCGGAAUUACUGGGCGUAAAGCGCACGUAGGCGGACUUUUAAGUCAGGUGUGAAAUCCCGGGGCUCAACCUCGGAACUGCAUUUGAAACUGGAAGUCUGGAGAUCAGGAGAGGUUAGCGGAAUACCGAGUGUAGAGGUGAAAUUCGUAGAUAUUCGGUGGAACACCAGUGGCGAAGGCGGCUAACUGGACUGAUACUGACGCUGAGGUGCGAAAGUGUGGGGAGCAAACAGGAUUAGAUACCCUGGUAGUCCAC
RNAcentral lists this ribosomal RNA (667 nucleotides) under uncultured Hyphomonadaceae bacterium. RNAcentral describes it as "bacterial SSU rRNA". It matches the Rfam family "Bacterial small subunit ribosomal RNA", at positions 95 to 798 of the family's 1533-position model. Lineage: Bacteria; Pseudomonadati; Pseudomonadota; Alphaproteobacteria; Hyphomonadales; Hyphomonadaceae. The record is from RNAcentral.